This 253-nucleotide ribosomal RNA is filed under the name uncultured bacterium. Its description in RNAcentral is "partial 16S ribosomal RNA". It matches the Rfam family "Bacterial small subunit ribosomal RNA", at positions 524 to 776 of the family's 1533-position model. The record is from RNAcentral.
UACGGGGGGGGCAAGCGUUGUUCGGAAUUACUGGGCGUAAAGGGCGCGUAGGCGGUUCGCUAAGUUGGAUGUGAAAACUCUGGGCUCAACCCAGAGCCUGCACCCAAAACUGGCGGGCUAGAGUUCUGGAGGGGGUAGCGGAAUUCCUGGUGUAGCGGUGAAAUGCGUAGAUAUCAGGAGGAACACCGGUGGCGAAGGCGGCUACCUGGACAGAAACUGACGCUGAGGCGCGAAAGCUAGGGGAGCAAACAGG